RNAcentral lists this long non-coding RNA (525 nucleotides) under Bos indicus x Bos taurus (hybrid cattle). RNAcentral's name for it is "lncRNA (ENSBIXG00000030210.1)". Lineage: Eukaryota; Metazoa; Chordata; Mammalia; Artiodactyla; Bovidae. The record is from RNAcentral.
CACAUCCUGACUCUAAAUCUCCCCUUUGCUUUCCCACAGCCACUCCAGAUGAGUGCUGCCCUCAGACACCAAGAAACUGCAUGGUGCAUAUUGAGGAUUUGGAGGAGAGCAAGACUAUAGAGAUACCAAAAAGAUCUCUGGUCAUCUUUUUGAAGACUGCUUCAGGAGAAGUCAGCAGCGAUGAUGAGGAAGACCUGGAAGAGCAAGAGUGAACGUGGGACCUGGGGUGAAAGGCUCUGCUCUGAAUCCCUGAAGACCUGGACCUGGACAUCAUCCUGGACCCCAGAGGGGAUGGAGCCCCCACAGCACCAGGAGCCUCAUCUGGACCAGAUCAGGGGAGGCCUCACUGCCUCUCUACUGAGAGUCCUCAUUUAGUACAGCUUCAUUUGUUUUGCUCUGUCGAUUUAGUAUUAGUUUUAUCUACAGUUUUAUCUUUAUAUUCUGUAUAUAUCUAUAUGUUCCAUAUUUAUAAGUAAGUUUUUUCAUUAAAUGUUUUUAUCUAUUUACUUUCAAAAUAACUUUUUG